This is a long non-coding RNA of Morus notabilis, 1551 nucleotides long. RefSeq lists it as uncharacterized. The record is from RefSeq and is a predicted model, not a curated record. The transcript has 5 exons. Lineage: Eukaryota; Viridiplantae; Streptophyta; Magnoliopsida; Rosales; Moraceae.
UUAAUCAAGAUUAGUUGUUUAAUAUUUAGGAAAAUCUUGAAAAAAGUUAACAAGAUCCAACAUUGUCUGCCGAUGAAAUUGAUAUGCUAAAUAGUGUUCUAGCUUCUUACUUUGGUCUCGAUCGGAAUGGACAUAUGAGAGCAAUGGGUCUCGGGAUGACCAGGACAAAAUAUUCUAUUUUAUCAAAAUGGGAUGACCACUUGUCUCUUUUACAAGAGAAAUAUUUACGAAUGGAGGAGGAUGUUAAGAGCUGAAAGAUAUACUUUAUCUAUUAUUGCAAAAUCAAGUUAGUUUUUUAUUCUUAUGUUUUGGUUUAAAUACAUUAUUGUAACGUUUCUAAUCUUAUUAGACAAGUUUUUGGUUGUAUUAAAAGCAGGCAAUGAAGAAUUAUGGCUCCACUCCUUUCUACUAAAGAUUCCAAUCAAGUGGCCUAAGAGCAUAGAUGAUGUAUGGAAAGCAAAUAUUCCCCAUACCCACCUUGCAACUGAGAAGUUUGACUAGAAUUGGAUGAUACAAUAUGCUUUUUGGAGAAUAAUAUAUGGUUCAUGAACUUAAUUCAUUUAUAUAUCAACUAUCUAGUCUGUUGUCAGUAUUUUACACCCAAAUUAUCUUUUCAUUUUUCUCAUUGUCUUUUAAGGUUUUGUGCAUAAAUGAGUUUGAUGAAGUCAGUUAAUAGAAAGCUGAAGGAUGAGAUUGCAAAGUUGAACGAUCAAUUACAAGAUCAGAUUUCUGUAUCAAGCAGCAGCUGUUUGAAUGCUCGGAUUAAAGCUUGGUGUUUUGGGGACAAAGAGGCUCCCUUACCCAAGUAGAUCUUUCGAGCUCGCGCAUUGUUCCCGAUGUAGGAGAGAGAUGAGUGCGCUUGUGGAGCGCAUGUGUUGGAAAAUAGCUGCUAAAAGGAACUAGGAGUUAUAUCUUUUGUGCAGAGUAAAAGAGUCCUAGCAAAAUCCAUAGAGCAAAAGUGAUUUGGCUCCUUGGCUUGCUCGACUGACCAGUCCACCUUCCCGCCUAGCUGAUUUUGGAUUUUCCACUGAUAUGUUUGACAAGGAUACAGUAAUCCUUCAUUUAUACUUAAUCACUCUGCAUGUACGGAAUUUCAUUUCUUGUCCAAAUAUAUGUGUUCAUGACUAAUGAGUAGAAGAAUUUGAUUUGUGAUCGUGUUGCCGGAAGUUUGGCAGCAAAGAGUUGACAAUUACUGGACUUUGUUGAAACCAAAAAUCGAGUCAAACACACUUAGGAACAUAAUGGACAUGAAGGCUAACAUAGGUUCCUUUGCUGCUGCUUUUAAAGGCAAAGAUGUGUGAGUGAUGAAUGUGGUGUCAGUAUUUGCACAUUAGAAGCACAUGAAUCUUUUUACUGCAAGCUCUGGAUUCUUUGCCAUCCAUGCUCUCGACCGAAGUAAUUGACUCGAGUCUGUCGUUGCAAGCAGCCGUUACUACCUCAAAUCUCCUGAAGAUAUAAGUGGAAUGCACUUUCUAAUUGCACUUGGUAAAUUAGAAAAGAAUGGGUCGGGAUCUUCAUUUAACGAGAUGUUUUGGAUAUUUUGAUAUCUCU